GUUUCACUAAACACAUCACAAAACUCCUUACUUUCUGUUAAGAAGGAGAAAGAGUCUUCGUAUCAAAGCCACAAUGCCAAAAGGAAAUUGCUACUACUUCCAUCAGGCUCAACACGUUUACCGCCUCAGAGUGAAUUGUUAAAACUUAAAACAAGUUCUGCGGUAAACCGAGGAACACUCCAUUUAGAAAAUGAUAUGACUGCCGCAGACGUCCUUAAAGAAGUGCGGACGGUUCUAAGCUCGCUUGGAAAGAAAAGAAUUCGUCUCGCUGCGGCGGACUCUUCAGGCAAAUUGGAUUUCUUUAAAGGCACAAAAUGGACAGCGAAGACACUACGUCAGAGAAUAAAAUCUAACUCAGUCUUGUACGUUGUACCAUCGAGUUGAAUCGCCACCUUAAGAGCAAUUCCUGAUAGCAUGCAGUAGAGAGGGAUGCAACAUACAGAGGAAACUCGUCUUCGUUUAAAGAUUCUUGCAAUGGAACUUUUAUCAUACAUCAACAACCAAAGAUUCCAACGUUUUACAGUUUUUCAUUCAAGGCAAAGCUUAUUUUCCAGUCACUUUUCCCGUGUAUUUUAACAGUGAUUAGUUUGUAAAGACCUUGCUAGCAGUUGAAGAUUCUGAAGAUUAAACUUGUUAAGUUU
Long non-coding RNA from Orbicella faveolata, 641 nucleotides. Lineage: Eukaryota; Metazoa; Cnidaria; Anthozoa; Scleractinia; Merulinidae. The record is from RefSeq and is a predicted model, not a curated record.